UCCAUAGGUUAAUGAGGCGAACCGGGGGAACUGAAACAUCUAAGUACCCCGAGGAAAAGAAAUCAACCGAGAUUCCCCCAGUAGCGGCGAGCGAACGGGGAGGAGCCCAGAGCCUGAAUCAGCAUGUGUGUUAGUGGAAGCGUCUGGAAAGGCGCGCGAUACAGGGUGACAGCCCCGUACACAAAAGCGCAUGUGCUGUGAGCUCGAUGAGUAGGGCGGGACACGUGGUAUCCUGUCUGAAUAUGGGGGGACCAUCCUCCAAGGCUAAAUACUCCUGACUGACCGAUAGUGAACCAGUACCGUGAGGGAAAGGCGAAAAGAACCCCGGCGAGGGGAGUGAAAAAGAACCUGAAACCGUGUACGUACAAGCAGUGGGAGCACCCUUCGGGGUGUGACUGCGUACCUUUUGUAUAAUGGGUCAGCGACUUAUAUUCUGUAGCAAGGUUAACCGUAUAGGGGAGCCGGAGGGAAACCGAGUCUUAAUUGGGCGUUAAGUUGCAGGGUAUAGACCCGAAACCCGGUGAUCUAGCCAUGGGCAGGUUGAAGGUUGGGUAACACUAACUGGAGGACCGAACCGACUAAUGUUGAAAAAUUAGCGGAUGACCUGUGGCUGGGGGUGAAAGGCCAAUCAAACCGGGAGAUAGCUGGUUCUCCCCGAAAGCUAUUUAGGUAGCGCCUCGUGAAUUCAUCUCCGGGGGUAGAGCACUGUUUCGGCUAGGGGGCCAUCCCGGCUUACCAACCCGAUGCAAACUGCGAAUACCGGAGAAUGUUAUCACGGGAGACACACGGCGGGUGCUAACGUCCGUCGUGAAGAGGGAAACAACCCAGACCGCCAGCUAAGGUCCCAAAGUCAUGGUUAAGUGGGAAACGAUGUGGGAAGGCCCAGACAGCCAGGAUGUUGGCUUAGAAGCAGCCAUCAUUUAAAGAAAGCGUAAUAGCUCACUGGUCGAGUCGGCCUGCGCGGAAGAUGUAACGGGGCUAAACCAUGCACCGAAGCUGCGGCAGCGAACGUAUCACCCAAGACAACUUUACGGAGUUGACGAUUGACGGAGCGAAGCGACGUCAAAGCGUUCAUUAAAGUCGAGUUGGCUUAGGGAUACGUUCGUUGGGUAGGGGAGCGUUCUGUAAGCCUGUGAAGGUGUGUCGUGAGGCAUGCUGGAGGUAUCAGAAGUGCGAAUGCUGACAUAAGUAACGAUAAAGCGGGUGAAAAGCCCGCUCGCCGGAAGACCAAGGGUUCCUGUCCAACGUUAAUCGGGGCAGGGUGAGUCGACCCCUAAGGCGAGGCCGAAAGGCGUAGUCGAUGGGAAACGGGUUAAUAUUCCCGUACUUGGUGUUACUGCGAAGGGGGGACGGAGAAGGCUAUGUUGGCCGGGCGACGGUUGUCCCGGUUUAAGCGUGUAGGUGUGUGUUCCAGGUAAAUCCGGUUCACUUUAACACUGAGGCGUGACGACGAGGCACUACGGUGCUGAAGCAACAA
RNAcentral lists this ribosomal RNA (1477 nucleotides) under Salmonella enterica subsp. enterica serovar Typhimurium. RNAcentral's name for it is "partial 23S ribosomal RNA". It matches the Rfam family "Bacterial large subunit ribosomal RNA", at positions 163 to 1596 of the family's 2925-position model. The record is from RNAcentral. Lineage: Bacteria; Pseudomonadati; Pseudomonadota; Gammaproteobacteria; Enterobacterales; Enterobacteriaceae.